CUGCUACCAGGGAAGGAGCUCCUGCCUUGGGGAGUCUGGGCUGCUGGAUUCUCCACAUCCCGCUUGAACUGCAGCAUCCAGAACUGGACACAGUACUCCAGCUGCAGCCUGACCACUGCUGCAUAGAGAGGGAGAAUCACCUCCCCGGACCUGUUUGUGAAGCACCUACGGAUGCACGACAAGAUGCAACUGGCUUUGCCGAUUACUUCAUGACAUUGAUGACUUAUGUUCAUCCUGGAAUCAACAGUGACUCUGAGAUCUCUUUCUGCCUCCGUGGAGCUGAGAAGAUCGCCCCCCCAGACUACAGUACCUGACGUUGGCGGCAUUCUUUAACACACAUAUGCCUUAUAAGUGCCAGAUGCCAAUGCCAGUGCUGCACAAGGCACAGCACGCGCAGUCCCUACCCCAAGGAGGUUACAAUCUGAACAAGACAGUAACAGAGCAGGAAGACAGCACUGAGAAACAGGACGAGGCAGUUGGCUUGAAAGACAAACAGAUAUAAAUAAUUAUAAGGAUUACAAUAAUUUGCACAAUGCACAAGAGCCCAUUAACUGUCUGAUGAUGAUGCAACAUGCACUGGUUUGUUGUCUGGUUAGGAAAUUGCUUGACAAAAGAAUAUCCCCGCUUUCUUUCCAUGCUUGUAAUAUAAAUGGGAUCAAUGCAGUAGGCAGGCUCUAAUAAAGCCAUCCAGCUUUUUUGAGAAAACAGGUGGGGGCACCUGCGGUAGUGACCUCAAUUUGCUGAGCUGCAAGACCAUUUUCUUAGGCUGCUUCUAUAGAAAUACUAUCAUUAUCUGCCAUACAUAAUUCUGGUUAUGGUUGUGACUGGAAAAUGGAGCUUCUUAGGAGGGCUUACAAGCUGACAUCCGUUCAAUAACAGGCACCUGUGCCAGAAUAGCAGAACGGGGCUGCUCGAGGUGGGGCUCUGAGAUUUGACAUACAGAUGUGGGUGA
Long non-coding RNA from Alligator mississippiensis (American alligator), 952 nucleotides. RefSeq lists it as uncharacterized. NCBI's taxonomy places the organism in Eukaryota, Metazoa, Chordata, Crocodylia, Alligatoridae. The record is from RefSeq and is a predicted model, not a curated record. The transcript has 3 exons.